Molecule: ribosomal RNA, 324 nt
Filed under: uncultured eukaryote
Lineage: Eukaryota
Description: partial 18S ribosomal RNA
Rfam family: Eukaryotic small subunit ribosomal RNA
Source: RNAcentral
CCCUUAGAUGUUCUGGGCCGCACGCGCGCUACACUGAUGCAUUCAACGAGCACCCGCUGGGCCGAGAGGUCCGGCUAAUCUUUGAACGUGCAUCGUGCUGGGGAUAGAUGAUUGCAAUUAUUCAUCUUCAACGAGGAAUUCCUAGUAAACGCAAGCCAUCAGCUUGCAUUGAUUACGUCCCUGCCCUUUGUACACACCGCCCGUCGCACCUACCGAUUGAAUGGUCCGGUGAAAUUCUCGGACGCGGACUUGCGAUGUUAAUUCGGAGCUUGACUGUGAAAGUUAAUUAAACCUUACCAUUUAGAGGAAGGUGAAGUCGUAACA